Molecule: ribosomal RNA, 403 nt
Filed under: Acidobacteriota bacterium
Lineage: Bacteria; Pseudomonadati; Acidobacteriota
Description: Acidobacteria bacterium partial 16S ribosomal RNA
Rfam family: Bacterial small subunit ribosomal RNA
Source: RNAcentral
UGGGGAAUAUUGCACAAUGGGCGAAAGCCUGAUGCAGCAACGCCGCGUGAGCGAUGAAGGCCUUCGGGUCGUAAAGCUCUGUCCUCAAGGAAGAUAAUGACGGUACUUGAGGAGGAAGCCCCGGCUAACUACGUGCCAGCAGCCGCGGUAAUACGUAGGGGGCUAGCGUUAUCCGGAAUUACUGGGCGUAAAGGGUGCGUAGGUGGUUUCUUAAGUCAGAGGUGAAAGGCUACGGCUCAACCGUAGUAAGCCUUUGAAACUGGGAGACUUGAGUGCAGGAGAGGAGAGUGGAAUUCCUAGUGUAGCGGUGAAAUGCGUAGAUAUUAGGAGGAACACCAGUUGCGAAGGCGGCUCUCUGGACUGUAACUGACACUGAGGCACGAAAGCGUGGGGAGCAAACAGG